This 253-nucleotide ribosomal RNA is filed under the name uncultured bacterium. RNAcentral describes it as "partial 16S ribosomal RNA". It matches the Rfam family "Bacterial small subunit ribosomal RNA", at positions 524 to 776 of the family's 1533-position model. The record is from RNAcentral.
UACGGAGGGUGCAAGCGUUAAUCGGAAUUACUGGGCGUAAAGCGCACGCAGGCGGACUGUUAAGUCAGAUGUGAAAUCCCCCGGCUCAACCUGGGAACUGCAGUUGAAACUGGCAAGCUAGAGUAUCGUAGAGGGGGGUAGAAUUCCAGGUGUAGCGGUGAAAUGCGUAGAGAUCUGGAGGAAUACCGGUGGCGAAGGCGGCCCACUGGGCGAAAACUGACGCUCAGGUGCGAAAGUGUGGGGAGCAAACAGG